RNAcentral lists this unclassified non-coding RNA (373 nucleotides) under soil metagenome. RNAcentral's name for it is "partial contains 5.8S ribosomal RNA, internal transcribed spacer 2, and large subunit ribosomal RNA". The stretch from base 1 to 121 matches the Rfam family "5.8S ribosomal RNA", at positions 35 to 154 of the family's 154-position model. The record is from RNAcentral.
GAUGAAGAACGUAGCGAAAUGCGAUAAGUAAUGCGAAUUGCAGAAUUCCAGUGAGUCAUCGAAUCUUUGAACGCACAUUGCGCCCUUUGGUAUUCCGAAGGGCAUGCCUGUUCGAGCGUCAUUAUCACCCCUCAAGCCCUCGGCUUGGUGUUGGACGGUUUGGUGGAGGCCCCCUCGGGGGUUCCUGCCCCUCCCAAAGACAAUGACGGCGGCCUCGUUGGACCCCCGGUACACUGAGUUCUUCACGGGACACGUAUCGGACACAUGGGUUUACGGGACACGGUCUGCCUCCCCCCAGGGAGAAUCUUUCUAAGGUUGACCUCGGAUCAGGUAGGGAUACCCGCUGAACUUAAGCAUAUCAAUAAGCGGAGGA